Molecule: long non-coding RNA, 1833 nt
Organism: Hyla sarda
Lineage: Eukaryota; Metazoa; Chordata; Amphibia; Anura; Hylidae
Exons: 3
Source: RefSeq, a predicted model, not a curated record
CACAGCUCCAGGAUAGGCUAACCAGCACUAAUGUCAGUGAGGCUGGAAGCCAUAACGACCAAGUGAUGCCAUUGCAAAAGACAAGAAGCUGUGAUCACCACUGGAACAUGGCAGGGUAUAAAGACCGAACCCUUAUUCUUCGAUGACGUGAAAUCUUUUUCCUCCCUAUGUCUUUCGACAUUCCCGACCGGAUUUAAUAUCCCAUUGAUGUCUUUCAGUCUUCUAACAAGGCCGAGAUGUGUGAACGGUUUCCUUCCGGAAGAAAGGGGAUUAUAUGUGGAUAAUUCCCCAUCAUAGAUACUUAGUGCUUCUCCGCUAUAAUUUAUUACUGUAAUUAACACCCUGCCUCCUCCAGUAAUGAAAAUCCAGGGUCCCAUCGUUCAGUGACCUUCAGUUCUCGAGUCCCUUGUCUAUACAACGCUAUUAUCCUGGAAUUAACAUGCUACGUAUGUUUGAAUGGAAUGUACAAGGAGAGAAGAAGACAACCCACUUAUCCAGACCAGAUUUUGCAUAGCGGUCAUUUUCUUUGAGAAGACCGCUUGGAUUCGUGACAAGAUCACUUCUGAAAAUAUCUAAUUAUAUUGGCCCCACCGGUGCCGAUCAUCAUUCGAAACCCAGUAGGUAGGCUACCUGGCCCGGUGAUGUAGCACAAGCAGCGGUUGAUGAAGACCUGCGUUUUUAGGUGAAAGAUGCACUGUCCUUACCGUCUAAAGUCUGUUGCCCCCCUCCCAUUAAUUGGCUAUAUGUUCCACAUGCUCACAAAUAGGGUUAAGUGAGGCAACACCCAUCCCUCCCCCCACCCCUGAACCCAGAUUCAAUCCAAAGUUGGCAGCCCACUAAAACUUUCGAACAUUGCCAGUUUUGGCUCGCACAGACCUCGCAAUGUAGGGGGUGAGCUGUGAGUACAGCUCAGCCCAGCAAGGAAGUAGCGCUAGUUAACUCCUUGGGGGAGGAGGGUGAAUACAUUGUAUUGCCAUCUAUAUGGCUGUAUAAUGUAUACAGUAAAUGUAUACAGAGUGAUACCCUCUCAUUAUGGUCCGGGCCUUUUCUUGUUUAGCUCCUCCCCUCAUGAUAUCAUCACCGGAGGCGGGGCUACAUAAGAAGAGGCACAAGUAGAUGGCUGUAUAAAGUAUACAACUCCCCCAAGGAGUUAUCAGCAGUGCGAAAGAGUAAAGAUGUGUUGCGUGCUCACCUCGAACCGAUCACUUCAUCCGAAAGUUCGGCAAGCCCAAAAAGCUUGCUCAACUCCUAAACCUACUAGGUAGAGAUAAGCAAAUCUCCCCAAAUUUUUUCAGGAAAGCUUGCUUGAAUUGCCAAUUUAAAUCGGAUUAAUGGACGAUUUAGAUUCGUUCAGGAGCAGGGACUCGGAUGAUAUAGCGCAAGCAACGGUUGAUGAAGACUUGCAGCUUUUGCAUGUUUUCUACUCCCAGAUAAUCCUUAUGAUACUGAAUAGAAAACUGAAUAGAAACUCCUAUUGCUGCCUGGAAACUGAUAUCAGGGAGGAUACCAACAGGUUUGCUCCUAUAUUUAUAUAGUGUCUAUAAAUACAAUGUUAAUAAAUGAAAACUGCCCCAACAGUAGUAAGUUGCUUGCUCUGCUCUCUGUGGACCACCACUUUACAUUUCCAGGUUCGUAGACAAUCUUACAACCCAUCUCGAGUGGUCACAAAGUGGUGUGCCUGGACUGACAUUACUUGCUAUUGAGAGAUGUUUGCUACUUGUACUCAAGAAAAGUAGGGGUACCUAGAAGGACUAGUGGGCAUUUGUCCCAUCUGCUGGGUGCCAGGAGGGGCACCAAUAAGCCACUGUGCCUUAGCCAUGGCAUUUCGCUUAG